GAUAAUUUCAAGCACUCCAUUAAGAAGCUUUUAUUUCAAAGAUUGUACUUUCAUGACUGACUUGAAGAAAGGCUAUGAUAGUAUCUCCUAAACACCCUGAUCGUUGUGACACCAGAAUAGGAGAAGAAAAAAAAAAGAUAGGGAAAUAUUUAUUCCCAGGAAAAUUCAGGAAGAAUUAGUGAAAAGAGAAUAAGCAGAAUAGUUUUUGAAAAAAGAAAGAAAUGGAAGAGUAGAGACUUACCCCCUAUUUGGAAACUUGGAAACUAGAAUUUUAUUGGU
This 279-nucleotide unclassified non-coding RNA is filed under the name Hevea brasiliensis (rubber tree). Lineage: Eukaryota; Viridiplantae; Streptophyta; Magnoliopsida; Malpighiales; Euphorbiaceae. The record is from RNAcentral.